Molecule: non-coding RNA, 2052 nt
Organism: Oryctolagus cuniculus (rabbit)
Lineage: Eukaryota; Metazoa; Chordata; Mammalia; Lagomorpha; Leporidae
Source: RefSeq, a predicted model, not a curated record
CAAUUCAGACCGUCAACAUGCUGGUGCGUUUGAAUCCUUUCCUGUGCAGUAAGCUAAAUCAUCUGCACGUGACGCAGAACACAGCUAACUGGAGUUCAAGGCUGUCCCACGUCAGUCAACCUCCGAGUACCCAGUUCCUCACCGAGAUGGUUUUCCAGGAUACAGCUAAUGAACACAGCCCAAAGUUAAUUUGACUAGCGCUGCCAACAGCAGAAGAGCCUGGCUAACCUACAGACCUCAUCCGAAAAGGGUGAUAAGACGUGGAUGCCAAAUGGCAGAAGCAGAGGAAAUGACUUCAAGGCAUCUGACCCAGUGUCAAGACAUCAGGGCUAAGUGACCUCUAGAUUCUGCAAUGAAGAUAUCCUCACAGGCCCUGUGACAGCCUUGGUAGAGAAAUUGGUGGCAAGGAGAGAGGAUGUUUCCAAGCAGUUGAGCACGAAGGUGCUACAGAAAACGAUAAAGUGGUGACAGAACUGAGAGGAGGUUGUUUCCUGCUGACAGGAAUCAGGGGGUUCCAGGAAUCAGAAAUGCAACCAGAACACAGCUGCGAAAGGGUUGAAGGCUGGACUCAUCUGGAACUUCUUCACUCACGUGUCAGGUAGCUGGGCUGGGAUGACUUCAGACGGGGCUCAGCGGGGACUGUUGACCAGAGUUCAUUUAUGUGGCUUCUCCGAGUGGCUUGAGCUUCCAUACAACAUGAUGAGGAACGAGGAAUUCCCUGAGGACUUGGAGAACCACUCAGAGGAAGGGACUCCUGCAGAGCCCCGGAUCCCUGCAUUGGAGGCUGAUGAGUCCAGAUUACAAACCAAAGCCCGCCUCAUACACCAGUACUUCCAUUAGGUCAGGGCUACGGGCUGAACUGUGUCCCCCCAAAACUCACAUGUUGAAGUCCUAAGUCUCAAUAUACAAUUGCAGUUGGAGAUGGGGCCUUUAUAAAGAUGAUCACAUCCAAAUAAUGCCACUGGGUUGGGUCCUCACGCAAUCUGUGUUCUUAUCAGAAGAGAUCAGAACACAGAUGACCCAGAGAGAUGACCAUGUAAGGACACAGGGAGAAGACGCCAUACCCAAGCCCAGGAAAGAGGCAUCAGUGGAGACCAGCCCUGCUCACCUUCCAGAUUGCUGAGAAAGUCCACGGUUGAUGUUUAUGUCACCCAGUCUGUGGUGUUUAGUCAUGGCAGGCCUAGCAGACUGGCAGCGGGGAGCCCACUCAUCACACAGGCACAAUCCCAGCUACUGCCGGGGUGAAGGGUGCAGCACCUGCCAUUCUGGCUGAGUGACAUCCCCGUGCCUCUGGCUUUCCAGGGUUGUGUGGCUGUUUACUUUCUAGCAAUUAACCACCCAUUUUCUGUCUAAUAGUUCAUGUUCCACUCACCUCUGGGGCUUAGGAUCCUUGGAGAGAAAUUUAGGGUUUUUCUACUUUUUCUCUUCUGUGUCAUAUUCAGUUAGGAAGUGAUGCUGACAGCUGAUCCAUGCCAUUGGUUUUGGAAAUUUCUGAUUGAAGUAGGAUGGCAGGACCACAUCGGGACUGUGGGGUGGGAUUUGUAGAUCGAUCGAUCGAUCGAUCGAUCUACACAUACUUAUGUAUACAUAUGUAUACAUAUGUACUUUUCAUAUGAAUGAAAAGUCUCAAGAAAGUACACUUCAAAUUAUAUUUCAGUGGUAAGAGUAUAUCCUUAAAAUAACUGAAAAAUAACUGAAAAUGUGAAAGUUCUGAGUAUAGGAACAGUUGUCUCUGAGUGGCAAUAAUGGGAAAAUACUAGAAGCAAGCUAAAUAUGUAAGAUUGGGAAUGAUUACGCUUCACAGUUUAUGUGUAUCACGGAAUGCUACACUAUCAUUAAAUUUGUGUUUUAAAGGAUUCUUAGUUGCAUGGGAAAAUGGACAAGAGAGUGUUAAAGUAGGGGAACGUGUUUAUGCCCCUUUCUCUUACAAAACAUGGAGUAUGUGGGCAUACAUUGGAAGGAGGGAUGGGUCAAAGGAGAGAUGAAAACAAUUAUGUGUCUCUCAAGACUCUUUUUUAAGGAGCAAAGAAAUAAAAAGUGACUAAAAGGAAA